CCAGACUCCUACGGGAGGCAGCAGUGAGGAAUAUUGGUCAAUGGACGAGAGUCUGAACCAGCCAAGUAGCGUGAAGGAUGACUGCCCUAUGGGUUGUAAACUUCUUUUAUAUGGGAAUAAAACAGGGUAUGCAUACCCUCUUGUAUGUACCAUAUGAAUAAGGAUCGGCUAACUCCGUGCCAGCAGCCGCGGUAAUACGGAGGAUCCGAGCGUUAUCCGGAUUUAUUGGGUUUAAAGGGAGCGUAGGUGGAUUGUUAAGUCAGUUGUGAAAGUUUGCGGCUCAACCGUAAAAUUGCAGUUGAAACUGGCAGUCUUGAGUGGGCGAGAAGUAUGCGGAAUGCGUGGUGUAGCGGUGAAAUGCAUAGAUAUCACGCAGAACUCCGAUUGCGAAGGCAGCAUACCGGCGCCCAACUGACGCUGAAGCACGAAAGCGUGGGUAUCGAACAGGAUUAGAUACCCCGGUA
Molecule: ribosomal RNA, 464 nt
Filed under: uncultured bacterium
Lineage: Bacteria
Description: bacterial SSU rRNA
Rfam family: Bacterial small subunit ribosomal RNA
Source: RNAcentral